CUCCACGCUGUGUCAAGCACAUGUAGACAUGAGGAGAUAAUAAGGCUCUUCCCCCAUGGAACUCACACUUCAGCUGGGAAAACAGAGAGGUAAGCAAGUCAUGCCAAGGAGAUGUUCAGAGAUGUGCUACAUGACUUAGAACAAUUCUUAGGGAAGCCUCACAAAGUUGGUGACAUUUGACCUUAGACCUCAAAGGAUGGAUCCUCAGGUAGGAAGAGCUCAGUAAGCAAAGGUCUCAAGUGUGAGAAAAGUCGCAGAGGGACAACAGUACAUGUGGAUGCAGGGAACCAGGAGGACUGAAGGGUGGGGGCGCAGUGAAUGUAGAAGCUAGAAGGUCAGGACCACGCUAUGGCUUUCAUGAGCCCUAGGCACUUGUGCCUUCAUUAAAAAAGUGGUAAAGAGUAUGUUUUACAACUGCAUUGAUAUAACAACGAAUAUAAUCCAGGAUGAUAGUAUUCUGAUUUUAAAAGAAACUGAAACAUUUUUGUGGGCCUAAAAAGUAUUGUGGGAGCUUCCCUGGUGGUGCAGUGGUUGAGAGUCCGCCUACCGAUGCAAGGGACACGGGUUCGUGCCCCAGUCUGGGAAGAUCCCAUAUGCCGCGGAGCGGCUGGGCCCGUGAGCCAUGGCCACUGAGCCUGUGCGUCUGGAGCCUGUGCUCCGCAACGGGAGAGGCCACGACAGUGAUAGGUCUGUGUACAGCAAAAAAAAAAAAAAAGUAUUGUGGGCCUCAGGCACUGUACCUGCUGUGCUUACUGGGUUAGUCGGCCCUGUAGAACAGUGGCUUGGGGCCCAACUGAAAAGGCUUUGAAUGCCAUGCUAAUAAGUCCAGUAAAUCCUAGGGAGCCUUAGUCCUCAACUCCAAUCUUAGCCCUACUCUUGGUUGCAUUCAACAUCCAAACAUUUACCAGGCACUGUUUGUUUGCUAUUUAUCCUAAUAUCGCUCAUACUCUCUAUAGCGUCACUCAAGAGCUCUCCAGCCCGAUCUCACGACGCAUGCCCAACUGAGGAGCCCUGCUGUGGUGCUCAGUUUCCUCACCCCGACCACACAGCAGCAGAGCAUCUCGCAAGGGUGGUCAGCUAAGGGUAACCCACGGGGACUGAGAGAUGCAGCAGGUUUGGGGGUGAAGGGAGGACUAGGGAAGAGAGGUGCUCAAGGAGAGGGAGAGGGCACGAACAGGGAGGUGGGAGGACUCAAGAAACCAGCUUCUUGGCCUCCCCUUAGCCGAGGAUGGCCUUGCCCUAACCCCACAUCUGCACUAUUAAAAUCCACCCCUCUGACCAUUCUCAGGCUAACCUAAAACCUUAAGUCCUGCUUAAAAUCUUUUUUAUUUAUUUAUUUAUUUUUGGUCGCGUCGGGUCUUCGUUGCUGCACGCGGACUUUCUCUAGUUGCGGCGAGCGGGGGCUACUCUUCGUUGCGGUGCGCGGGCUUCUCGUUGCAGUGGCUUCUCGUUGCAGAGCAUGGGCUCUAGGCGUGCAGGCUUCAGGAGUUGUGGUUCACGGGCUCAGUAGUUGUGACUCACAGGCUUAGUUGCUCGGCAGCAUGUGGGAUCUUCCCAGACCAGGGCUCGAACCCGUGUCCCCUGCAUUGGCAGGUGGAUUUUUAACCACUGCGCCACCAGGGACGCCCAAGUCUUGUUUAAAAUCUUGAUGCUAACUAGGCCUGUGUUACUAUCUCCUGGCUCCAGGAACCUCUCUCCCCUUAGCCCUGCGUGGCUCAUCUCCUCUGGGGAUCUAUUUCCCACUUGAAGAGUAUUGGCGCCAUUGCCCAAAAUGGAUAAAUGUCCCAGAAUAUAUUCUUAUUUUUAAUUACAAAAAUAAGGGACUUCCCUGGCAGUCCAGCGGUUAAGACUCCUCACCUCCAAUGCAGGGGACACGGGUUCGAUCCCUGGUCGGGGAGCUGAGAUCCUGCAAGCCAUGUGAUAUGGCCGAAAAAUUACGAAAAAAGAAAAAGUGAAAUUGAUCCUCACGACACUGCCAUACCUAUUGAUUCAUUCUCUAGAAGUAGUAACUUCUAGAAAAGUAAUAAUUUCCAGGUAUAAACCUUCUCUACCCUUUUUCUAUGAAUAUACAUAAUAUAUAAAGACACACACACAGAGUACCAUAUUGUUUGAAACUUGAUGUCUUCAUUUAAUAUACCAAGGACAUCUUUUCAUGUCAGGUCAUUUAAGUCUAACUCAUUCUUUUUAAAAGCUGGAUAGUAUUGGGAUUCCUUGGUGGUGAAGCCCUGGUGGUUCGAUCCCUGGUCCGGGAAGAUUCCACAUGCCGUGCAGCAACAAAGCCUGUGCGCCACAACUACUGAGCCUGUGCUCUAGAGCCCACGAGCCACAACUACUGAAGGCCGUGCUCCUAGAGCACAUGCUCCACAACAAGAGAAGCCACCGCAAUGAGAAGCCCGUGUACUGCAACGAAGAGUAGACCCCGCUCACCGCAACCAGAGAAAGCCCGCACGCAGCAACGAAGACCCAAUGCAGCCAAAAUUAAAACCAAAUAAAUAAAUAAAUUUAUUUUUUUUAAAAGCUGGGUAGUAUUCCUUAAUAUGAUUAAACCCAAUUUCUCUAACCUUCCCCUAUUGAUGAAUACUUGAGUUUUUCCCAAUUUUGCGACAAACUUUAUGACAAACUACACAAAGUUUGGUGACAGACUACACUAGAACCCACAUCGUUGUACAUUUAUUUUUGUGCCCGUGUUUAUUUCAAAAGGAUACAUUCCUCUUGGAAAAUACGCAGUGCCUCAGAAUGAAAGCCAAAGCCCUCCUCUACACCUCACCCUAAGAGGAGGAAAAGAGUCUGACCAGCGUGGGAGAUGAGGCUGGGUGUGUAGAUUACUCAAUGGCUUGGGAGCAUUGAGUGCAAUCCUAAACAGUUUGGUUUUUAAGCAAAUACAGAUAAGGCUUCGCCAAGGGUGCAGCGAUGGAUGUGAUAUUGACCCUGCGCUCAAGGGCUCACUUUGGAGUCUGUGAUGUGGAGGGGUAACCUUUAAGAGGCCCUUGAGCCUCCCCUUGGACUCCUGAUCCUGGGGGCUAGAGCUGUCUCCCUAUUCUCCAGAGGAGGCCACGGGGUGUGGGGGUGGGGGAGCGGGUGGAGAAUGACAAAGGAGGCCCGGAUUCCCCAGCCAGCUCAACUCUUCCCCCACCCCCCCACCCCCGGGGUCUCCUUUGGGUUAGAAUGUUGGGGGUGGGGCUGGAGAGGGAGCCCUUAGUGCAAUUCCCACCCAUCACCCCCCACACCCCCCCCCCCAGCUCAAGGACCUGAAAAGGUGACCGUCUGUACGGAACUCCUUCCUCAGCCUUUUCCAGGCCUCUCCCACACCUGCAGGCUUGAAACUUGAAUUCUGGAGUGUCUAGGCAACAAAAGCCCCCAGGUGAACUGGCAUACUUUCCUGCCUGCCUCCCCCUGGGCUUACGGCUUCUCUCAGCCUAAGUCCACCCACAGUCCUUGCUCUGGGACCUCCCAACCCAAAGUUCUCUGCCCACCGCAAGGUCCGCGGCACCUCCCUCCAUCCCCCUCUCCUGACUCCGAUGGCCAGAGCCUCUCAUCUCCUGCAGGACACUCCUGCCCUGCUCUCCACCCUCAUAGCACGCAGACUAGCUCCCUAUCCUGAGGGCUUCCUCUUCUCACCGACACUCUCCUUCCCUGGGAGCUCUCUUUUAUCUGCUCUCCAGAUGAGUCUCCCCAAACCUGUUUCCUAGUGAAGCAAGAGGGAAGGGGGCAGAGCACAACCUUUGAAAGAAUGACAUAGCCCAGAGGACACGACAUAAACUUAUUAGAACCAAAUGGGUCCAAGAUGGCAGACAAGUCGACUUCCACUAGACCUCGAGCCUCAGGAUACGUUCGUUGUAACACAUCAAGCUAAAUGACACACCCACAGGUGCCAUGACAGUUCCAAGACCAACCAUAAGGAUCAAAAAGUGGGCGGUGGCCCAAUUCCUGGAAAUCCCCGCCCCUUCCUAAAAUCGUUGGAAUACUCCUCCUACUCAUUAGCCUAUGAAAUUACCCACUCCUAUAAAAACUGACAACCCCAUACUCUGGGGCCUUUCUCGCCUUCUGAGAAGGCCCAUGCUCUGUCUGUGGAGAGUGUUUCUCUCUAAAUAAAUCCACUUCUUACCUAUCACUUUAUCUCUCACUGAAUCCUUUCUGCAAUAAGACAUCGAGAACCUGAGCUUCAUUAAGUCCUGAAACCAGGUGUGUGAUUUCAGUUGGCAGACUGUGGGUUUUGGCCGGGUUCGAGGCCCAGCCGCAUGGGUUCAAGUCCCAACCCGUGGUGCACGGUUUCUUCCAUCAGAAUUCUCUCCACUGCAGCUACGCUGCUUUUGUCUCCUUGCACCUACACCACUGUCUGCGUCCUGGGGGCGCGUGCCGUUUCCCUCUUUGCUGUCUCCUCUUUCUUCUUGCUCUCCUUGCACACUUCUCUCCUCCAGCCCCCCAUGCCUCCAAACCCUGGUGCACAGGGUAGGUCUCUGCACUGACAGUGCCCCCGAGGGCAGUGAGACGGUGGCAGGCUACCAGCAAGCGGAGCAUCCCAAGGGAAAUGCCAGUCCUGGCUCUCCAUCUAAUUUCUUUUUUUAUAUAUAUUUUUUUAACAUCUUUAUUGGAGUAUAAUUGCUUUACAAUGGUGUGUUAGUUUCUGCUGUAUAACAAAGUGAAUCAGUUAUACAUAUACAUAUGUUCCCAUAUCUCUUCCCUCUUGCGUCUCCCUCCCUCCCUCCCUCCCUCCGUCCCUAUCCCACCCCUCCAGGCGGUCACAAAGCACCGAGCUGAUCUCGCUGUGCUGUUCCAUCUUAUUGCUGAAAAAGACUUAGUUGGAUGCUUUUCAGCUGAAAGAGAUGAUUAAUUCAGCCCUGACCUUGUUCUGUCUUUGUUCAUAGACAAAUUCUUUUACUUAAAAAGAAACCUUUUCAUUUGUGUUUCCAUUAUCACCUGUGAUUUCCCCUGCCUUCCAAAUGGCCCUGCCAGUUGACAGGAAGGUCAGCAAAGCUGCUGAUAAGCGGAGAUUAAAGAGGGCUUGUGGCAAGGGGGCAGUGGUCUACUUGCUGGCAACAUGCUGCGCUUGCUGGUGUUCACCACGCUGGUCCUUCAUGGACAUAGUGCCCAGGACUUUCCAGAAACCAACUCCCGGGUAGUUGGAGGGACUGAGGCCCGGAGGCAUUCUUGGCCCUCUCAGCAAACAUCACCAAAUGACGGAACACUCUUUUCUGCUGGUCCCAAGGGCAUCUACACGCCCCUUCUCACCACUACUCCAGGUAGCCUCAACAGCAAAAGGUCAAAUGAAAACAAUUCGCCAUCUCUAGCCCAGAAAGUUGGAGAAUGUUUUGAGAUUUCCCUCCAGUACCAGUCUGGAGGUUCCUGGUUUCACAUCUGUGGAGGGACCCUCAUCAGACGGAACUGGGUGAUGACAGCUGCUCACUGUGUGGACAAACAAAUGAGCUUCCGUGUGGUGGUUGGAGACCACAACCUGAGCCAGAACGAUGGCACCGAGCAGUACGUGAGAGUGCAGAGGAUCAAGGUGCAUCCCCACUGGAACAGCAAUAAUGUGGCUGCAGGCUAUGACAUCGCCCUGCUGCGCCUGGCCCAGAACGUUACCCUCAACAGCUAUGUCCAGCUGGGUGUUCUGCCAAAGGAGGGAACCAUCCUGACUAACAACAGCCCCUGCUACAUCACAGGUUGGGGCAGGACCAUGACCAAUGGGCAGCUGGCCCAGACCCUGCAGCAGGCUUACCUGCCCACCGUGGACUACGCCACCUGCUCCAGCUCCUCUUACUGGGGCUCCACCGUGAAGAAUACCAUGGUGUGCGCUGGAGGAGACGGAGUUCACUCUGGAUGCCAGGGUGAUUCUGGGGGUCCCCUUCAUUGCUUGGUGAAUGGCCAGUACACUGUCCACGGUGUGACCAGCUUCGUGUCCAGCCUGGGCUGUAAUGUCUCCAGGAAGCCCACAGUCUUCACUCGGGUCUCUGCUUACAUCUCUUGGAUAAAUAACUGUACUUUCGCUCGAUAACGUUGCCGUCCUGAGUUCCACUUCACAUACCCACUAAGAAUGCUUCACUGUACUGUUUACUGCUUAGGGUCACUGCCAACAACUGAACAUUUUCUUGGGUCCAACGGCCUUCCCAAGAUGAUUCUUAGAUCCACAGCAGGACUUGAGGCCAUCCAGGAAAAACCAUUCUAACAGACUACUGAGCCAGAUGCAGAAAUGCAAAUAAAAUUGAAUAUAUAUAUUA
This is an RNA transcript of Orcinus orca (killer whale), 6215 nucleotides long. It is a transcript of the gene named chymotrypsin like elastase 1, with no coding region annotated. The transcript is spliced from 10 exons. NCBI's taxonomy places the organism in Eukaryota, Metazoa, Chordata, Mammalia, Artiodactyla, Delphinidae. The record is from RefSeq and is a predicted model, not a curated record.